AACUUGAUACUUGAUUGCCAGGAAAAAAGGGAAAGUUUAUGGGUUCACUAGAACACAGCUUCAAUCUAUGAGUCAACAUGAAAAAAACACAGAAAUCAAGGGUCGUUUAAUCCAUUUUUCCUAUCCCUAGUGAUCAAAUUAACUCAUGAAGCCAUAUUUUAAGGAACAGGACAUCCAUGGUAUUGCCACAACAGCUAACUCAAAAAAAGAAAGGCAACAGAAGACAAUUAACAUAAAUAUGAGGAUUCUAAAUUCAAUGGCUAUUCUCAAACCUACAGUCUAUGCUCCAGAGAGUUUUAGUCACAUCUCUAAGAAUGGUAAAGAGAGAAACACCCAUACAAGUUACAAAUGCAGCAUGAGUAUACUAGAUAUGUUUGCCACCUUAGACAGUAAUAAAUCCAAUUUUGGCAUAUUAACAACUAUGAAUGGCACAGGGAACACAAAUAAACUAUUACUUCAAAAAACUCAAAACUUCA
Molecule: unclassified non-coding RNA, 476 nt
Filed under: Hevea brasiliensis (rubber tree)
Lineage: Eukaryota; Viridiplantae; Streptophyta; Magnoliopsida; Malpighiales; Euphorbiaceae
Source: RNAcentral